Molecule: long non-coding RNA, 790 nt
Organism: Arachis duranensis
Lineage: Eukaryota; Viridiplantae; Streptophyta; Magnoliopsida; Fabales; Fabaceae
Exons: 2
Source: RefSeq, a predicted model, not a curated record
UCCGCGGAUAUCCGCAGAGACCCAGGCCCCCGGCGGAUACGGGGUCCCCGUUACCCGUCAUAGGGACGGGACGGGGACGGGGAUAGUAAUUGGGGGGCGGGUGGCAUGUCCCCGCCCCCAUGGGACCCGUUGCCAUCCUUAGCCCAGCCUCCUCCCUUUCCCCUUUCUGUCGCCAUCAAGUCCAGAGACCAUAAGUCUUCCUCUUCGUGACCCCUGUCUGACACCACCCCUCUUCCAUCGAGCCCAGAACUCCUCCGCGCUCAAGCCUUCCCCCUGUUUCUCUUCACUGGCUAGAAUGACAGAAUAGGGCAAGAGCCUUGUUCCUUUGCUGUGCCCCUCUUCAGCUGCUGCCAUUGGAGCAGCUCCACUACCAGGCCAGCUGGGUUACUCCGGCCGUUCACUCACCAUCAUCCACCUUUUCUUCUCUUCCUGUGUUCCAUUUCCUUCCUUCCAGUUUUUUGCAUAUGAGCAUCUGAGGAGGAGGAGGCAUGGGACAGUAGAGGUGACACAGUGACGACUUCUUCCACUCUGCAUGAUCGUGAACACCGAGGACGGUGCUACAAUUUAAGUGUGGGGAGGUUGUCCAACUUUAGCAGCGCAUUUUGUGUGACAAGCUUCAUUCCGAACACUUUUAGUUUAGUUCUUUUUAUACUUUUUAGUUGUUUUGUAUAUAUUUUAUCUUUUGAAAACCUUUUUACUUAGUUUAUUGUACUUUCUUAGUUUAUUACACUUUUCAAUUUUGCUUGUAUAUAACUUAGUAUUAUAUUGUAGUAAAGCAUGUUUUUGAUUU